GUGGGGAAUCUUGCGCAAUGGGCGAAAGCCUGACGCAGCCAUGCCGCGUGGAUGAUGAAGGUCUUAGGAUUGUAAAAUCCUUUCACCGGUGAAGAUAAUGACUGUAGCCGGAGAAGAAGCCCCGGCUAACUUCGUGCCAGCAGCCGCGGUAAUACGAAGGGGGCUAGCGUUGCUCGGAUUUACUGGGCGUAAAGGGCGCGUAGGCGGACAUUUAAGUCAGGGGUGAAAUCCCGGGGCUCAACCUCGGAACUGCCUUUGAUACUGGGUGUCUUGAGUAUGAGAGAGGUGUGUGGAACUCCGAGUGUAGAGGUGAAAUUCGUAGAUAUUCGGAAGAACACCAGUGGCGAAGGCGACUCACUGGCCCAAUACUGACGCUGAGGCGCGAAAGCGUGGGGAGCAAACAGGAUUAGAAACCCCUGUAGUCC
RNAcentral lists this ribosomal RNA (425 nucleotides) under uncultured bacterium. Its description in RNAcentral is "partial 16S ribosomal RNA". It matches the Rfam family "Bacterial small subunit ribosomal RNA", at positions 354 to 796 of the family's 1533-position model. The record is from RNAcentral.